Molecule: ribosomal RNA, 492 nt
Filed under: uncultured bacterium
Lineage: Bacteria
Description: partial 16S ribosomal RNA
Rfam family: Bacterial small subunit ribosomal RNA
Source: RNAcentral
AGUGAACGCUGGCGGUAGGCCUAACACAUGCAAGUCGAACGGCAGCACAGUAAGAGCUUGCUCUUACGGGUGGCGAGUGGCGGACGGGUGAGGAAUGCAUCGGAAUCUACUUUUUCGUGGGGGAUAACGUAGGGAAACUUACGCUAAUACCGCAUACGACCUACGGGUGAAACCAGGGGAUCUUCGGACCUUGCGCGAUUGAAUGAGCCGAUGUCGGAUUAGCUAGUUGGCGGGGUAAAGGCCCACCAAGGCGACGAUCCGUAGCUGGUCUGAGAGGAUGAUCAGCCACACUGGAACUGAGACACGGUCCAGACUCCUACGGGAGGCAGCAGUGGGGAAUAUUGGACAAUGGGCGCAAGCCUGAUCCAGCCAUACCGCGUGGGUGAAGAAGGCCUUCGGGUUGUAAAGCCCUUUUGUUGGGAAAGAAAAGCAGCAGGUUAAUACCCCGCUGUUCUGACGGUACCCAAAGAAUAAGCACCGGCUAACUUCGUG